This 1257-nucleotide ribosomal RNA is filed under the name uncultured Acinetobacter sp. Its description in RNAcentral is "bacterial SSU rRNA". It matches the Rfam family "Bacterial small subunit ribosomal RNA", at positions 76 to 1328 of the family's 1533-position model. The record is from RNAcentral. Lineage: Bacteria; Pseudomonadati; Pseudomonadota; Gammaproteobacteria; Moraxellales; Moraxellaceae.
UAGCUUGCUACCUGACCUAGCGGCGGACGGGUGAGUAAUGCUUAGGAAUCUGCCUAUUAGUGGGGGACAACAUUCCGAAAGGAAUGCUAAUACCGCAUACGCCCUACGGGGGAAAGCAGGGGAUCUUCGGACCUUGCGCUAAUAGAUGAGCCUAAGUCAGAUUAGCUAGUUGGUGGGGUAAAGGCCUACCAAGGCGACGAUCUGUAGCGGGUCUGAGAGGAUGAUCCGCCACACUGGGACUGAGACACGGCCCAGACUCCUACGGGAGGCAGCAGUGGGGAAUAUUGGACAAUGGGCGAAAGCCUGAUCCAGCCAUGCCGCGUGUGUGAAGAAGGCCUUUUGGUUGUAAAGCACUUUAAGCGAGGAGGAGGCUACUUGGAUUAAUACUCUAGGAUAGUGGACGUUACUCGCAGAAUAAGCACCGGCUAACUCUGUGCCAGCAGCCGCGGUAAUACAGAGGGUGCGAGCGUUAAUCGGAUUUACUGGGCGUAAAGCGUGCGUAGGCGGCUUUUUAAGUCGGAUGUGAAAUCCCUGAGCUUAACUUAGGAAUUGCAUUCGAUACUGGGAAGCUAGAGUAUGGGAGAGGAUGGUAGAAUUCCAGGUGUAGCGGUGAAAUGCGUAGAGAUCUGGAGGAAUACCGAUGGCGAAGGCAGCCAUCUGGCCUAAUACUGACGCUGANGUACGAAAGCAUGGGGAGCAAACAGGAUUAGAUACCCUGGUAGUCCAUGCCGUAAACGAUGUCUACUAGCCGUUGGGGCCUUUGAGGCUUUAGUGGCGCAGCUAACGCGAUAAGUAGACCGCCUGGGGAGUACGGUCGCAAGACUAAAACUCAAAUGAAUUGACGGGGGCCCGCACAAGCGGUGGAGCAUGUGGUUUAAUUCGAUGCAACGCGAAGAGCCUUACCUGGUCUUGACAUAGUAAGAACUUUCCAGAGAUGGAUUGGUGCCUUCGGGAACUUACAUACAGGUGCUGCAUGGCUGUCGUCAGCUCGUGUCGUGAGAUGUUGGGUUAAGUCCCGCAACGAGCGCAACCCUUUUCCUUAUUUGCCAGCGGGUUAAGCCGGGAACUUUAAGGAUACUGCCAGUGACAAACUGGAGGAAGGCGGGGACGACGUCAAGUCAUCAUGGCCCUUACGACCAGGGCUACACACGUGCUACAAUGGUCGGUACAAAGGGUUGCUACCUAGCGAUAGGAUGCUAAUCUCAAAAAGCCGAUCGUAGUCCGGAUUGGAGUCUGCAACUCGACUCCAUGAAGUCG